GACCCUCCCUCCCAGACCCUCCCACCUCCUGGACAGAGCUUCAACAUGGAUGCUGUCCAGGAAGUAGGAGGGUCUGGGAGGGAGGGUC
Molecule: non-coding RNA, 88 nt
Organism: Pelobates cultripes (western spadefoot toad)
Lineage: Eukaryota; Metazoa; Chordata; Amphibia; Anura; Pelobatidae
Source: the annotation of a GenBank genome assembly